CGACAGCACAAUGGCUGCCUGUGGCUCCUCGGGCUCUCGCCAUCUCGUCUGGGGCCCGGCACCAGCGAAAGUCACCGCAGUCCCAUCACCUCUCUAUUUAUCUUUGCGCGGGGGGAGCCGGAUGAGGAGGGAGGACUUUUUCUCUUGUCUCACACCGUGACAAGCGGACUGACCCAUGACUUGCUGGCCUUCUGCACCCAUGACUGACAGCUCGCCGUCACACUGGAGACGAGCGUCGCCUUCUCUCAAAAGGAGUGAAUCAAGGAGCUGUCUAGACAAGACACAUCCAUUCCCUCACGGAUCCAGUUUGGACAUUGCCGAGCCACUCUGGUGCCCAGUUCCCAUGCCGGCCCCGAGCGACUCGCCGGGAACGCCCGAUGCCAAUGACGG
Molecule: long non-coding RNA, 390 nt
Organism: Syngnathoides biaculeatus (alligator pipefish)
Lineage: Eukaryota; Metazoa; Chordata; Actinopteri; Syngnathiformes; Syngnathidae
Exons: 3
Source: RefSeq, a predicted model, not a curated record